AUGAACGCCGGCGGCGUGCCUAAUACAUGCAAGUCGAGCGCACAGACGAGGAGCUUGCUCCUCUGACGUUAGCGGCGGACGGGUGAGUAACCCGUGGAUAACCUACCUAUAAGACUGGGAUAACUUCGGGAAACCGGAGCUAAUACCGGAUAAUAUAUUGAACCGCAUGGUUCAAUAGUGAAAGACGGUUUUGCUGUCACUUAUAGAUGGAUCCGCGCCGCAUUAGCUAGUUGGUAAGGUAACGGCUUACCAAGGCAACGAUGCGUAGCCGACCUGAGAGGGUGAUCGGCCACACUGGAACUGAGACACGGUCCAGACUCCUACGGGAGGCAGCAGUAGGGAAUCUUCCGCAAUGGGCGGAAGCCUGACGGAGCAACGCCGCGUGAGUGAUGAAGGUCUUCGGAUCGUAAAACUCUGUUAUUAGGGAAGAACAAAUGUGUAAGUAACUAUGCACGUCUUGACGGUACCUAAUCAGAAAGCCACGGCUAACUACGUG
This 496-nucleotide ribosomal RNA is filed under the name uncultured bacterium. RNAcentral describes it as "partial 16S ribosomal RNA". It matches the Rfam family "Bacterial small subunit ribosomal RNA", at positions 29 to 507 of the family's 1533-position model. The record is from RNAcentral.